CAGAAUAAUUACCGCAUUGAUGCCAACCAGGAGCUGCUGGCCAUCGGCCUCACCAAUGUGCUGGGCUCCCUAGUCUCGUCUUACCCGGUCACUGGCAGCUUUGGGCGGACAGCAGUGAAUGCCCAGACGGGGGUGUGUACCCCGGCAGGAGGCCUGGUGACUGGUGUCCUGGUGCUGCUGUCUCUGGACUACCUGACCUUACUGUUCUACUAUAUCCCCAAGUCUGCACUGGCUGCCGUCAUCAUCAUGGCUGUGGCCCCGCUCUUUGACGUCAAGAUCUUCAGGAGGCUCUGGCUUGUUCAGAGGCUGGACCUGUUACCACUCUGCGUGACAUUCCUGCUGUCCUUCUGGGAGAUCCAAUACGGCA
This 367-nucleotide long non-coding RNA is filed under the name Rattus norvegicus (Norway rat). Its description in RNAcentral is "long non-coding RNA NONRATT005120". The record is from RNAcentral. Lineage: Eukaryota; Metazoa; Chordata; Mammalia; Rodentia; Muridae.